GAUGAACGCUGGCGGCGUGCCUAAUACAUGCAAGUCGAGCGAACAGACGAGGAGCUUGCUCCUCUGACGUUAGCGGCGGACGGGUGAGUAACACGUGGAUAACCUACCUAUAAGACUGGGAUAACUUCGGGAAACCGGCGCUAAUACCGGAUAAUAUAUUGAACCGCAUGGUUCAAUAGUGAAAGACGGUUUUGCUGUCACUUGUAGAUGGAUCCGCGCCGGAUUAGCUAGUUGGUAGGGUAGCGGCUUACCAAGGCGACGAUGCGUAGCCGACCUGAGAGGGGGACAGGCGAGAUUGGGACUGAGAGACGGCCCAGACUCCGAAGGGAGGCAGCAGUGGGGAAUAUUGAACAAUGGGCGGAAGCCUGAUGCAGAAACGCCGCGUGCGGGAUGACGGCCUUCGGGUUGUAAACCGAUUUCGCCUGUGACGAAGCGUGAGGGACGGUAAUGGGUAAAGAAGCACCGGCUAACUACGUG
Molecule: ribosomal RNA, 477 nt
Filed under: uncultured bacterium
Lineage: Bacteria
Description: partial 16S ribosomal RNA
Rfam family: Bacterial small subunit ribosomal RNA
Source: RNAcentral